UACGUAGGGGGCGAGCGUUGUCCGGAUUCAUUGGGCGUAAAGAGCUCGUAGGCGGUUCGGUAAGUCAGGUGUAAAAACUCCAGGCUCAACUUGGAGAGGCCACCUGAUACUGUCGUGACUAGAGUCCGGUAGAGGAGCAUGGAAUUCCUGGUGUAGCGGUGAAAUGCGCAGAUAUCAGGAGGAACACCAGCGGCGAAGGCGGUGCUCUGGGCCGGAACUGACGCUGAGGAGCGAAAGCGUGGGGAGCGAACAGG
Molecule: ribosomal RNA, 254 nt
Filed under: uncultured bacterium
Lineage: Bacteria
Description: partial 16S ribosomal RNA
Rfam family: Bacterial small subunit ribosomal RNA
Source: RNAcentral